CCAAGAUUAAACACCAUAAAGAGAGUAGUAAUACCACUGUACUUCCUUGUUUUAUUUAUUAUUUUGGUCAUACAUUCACUUCAUACAGUGUUUACCAUCAAGUACAACCCAGGUUCAUCAAUUCUUUGAGGUAUUGCAAUGUUUUAAAUAAAAUACUAGUCUAAUUACACUUAUCCAGCGGCCUCACAAGUACGUGAAGACCAAACUUAGGUUUCAGAGUAAACAUAUCAACGGGCGCAUGCACAUAGUCAGGGGAAAGUGUGAAUGAGAACUUCUGG
This 278-nucleotide long non-coding RNA is filed under the name Triticum aestivum (bread wheat). RNAcentral describes it as "long non-coding RNA (TAES_LNC026623)". Lineage: Eukaryota; Viridiplantae; Streptophyta; Magnoliopsida; Poales; Poaceae. The record is from RNAcentral.